GGGUAUAGGGCUUAGUAUGACUAUUAAAUUUAUUUACCAUGUCAGAAUCGUAAGAUAGCAGCAUAAAAUAGACAUUUGUAGUUAGUAUGAAACCUAUACCUG
This 102-nucleotide non-coding RNA is filed under the name Haslea provincialis. Lineage: Eukaryota; Bacillariophyta; Bacillariophyceae; Naviculales; Naviculaceae. The record is from RNAcentral.